Molecule: ribosomal RNA, 376 nt
Filed under: uncultured organism
Description: partial 16S ribosomal RNA
Rfam family: Bacterial small subunit ribosomal RNA
Source: RNAcentral
GUAGGUGGCAAGCGUUGUCCGGAAUUAUUGGGCGUAAAGCGCGCGCAGGCGGUCCUUUAAGUCUGAUGUGAAAGCCCACGGCUCAACCGUGGAGGGUCAUUGGAAACUGGGGGACUUGAGUACAGAAGAGGAAAGCGGAAUUCCAAGUGUAGCGGUGAAAUGCGUAGAGAUUUGGAGGAACACCAGUGGCGAAGGCGGCUUUCUGGUCUGUAACUGACGCUGAGGCGCGAAAGCGUGGGGAGCAAACAGGAUUAGAUACCCUGGUAGUCCACGCCGUAAACGAUGAGUGCUAAGUGUUAGGGGGUUUCCCGCCCCCUUAGUGCUGCAGCUAACGCAUUAAGCACUCCGCCUGGGGGAGUACGGCCGCAAAGGCUGA